This is a long non-coding RNA of Pseudomyrmex gracilis, 1128 nucleotides long. RefSeq lists it as uncharacterized. NCBI's taxonomy places the organism in Eukaryota, Metazoa, Arthropoda, Insecta, Hymenoptera, Formicidae. The record is from RefSeq and is a predicted model, not a curated record. The transcript is spliced from 4 exons.
UAUAUAUUGUAUCACAGCCUUGAGUCUUCUUGAGUCCUUGAGUCGGCCAUUUCAUUUCUGUUGUAGUUGCAGGUAGUUUCGGCAGAAAGCUGUUGCAACAGAAAAAACUUUGUUGUCUGAUAAAAAUGUGUGCAUUGAGUGAAGCUCGAUUAUAUAUUAAGUCUCAAGAUCGAAGAUUUCUUGAAGUAUCUAUAAAUAUUUGAGUAUGUAACCUAACCUAACCUAGGCUUGGUUUACAUCUAUUUAUCAUGCACAUAUAUUUGUUCGCUAAUGCCAUGUUUGGUGAGUAAUUAAUAUAGCUAUAUAUAUGUAUGUACUGCUAAAAUUUAAUAAAAUACUGCUUAAAAUAAAUAUUUAAAAAGAUAAAUAGGAAGUAACAUUUGUUGAAAAAAUAAAAGAAAGUAAUGAAAAUUAUUUGUGGUAAAUAAAGACGCCUUAAAAUUGGGCAAAAAAUGACUGAAUUUGUUUUAGAACAUUUUUAAUCUUUAAGGCAAGAUUAAAAGCCUGGAUUAAUCUCCGGUAAGGAUUAUUUUCUUCCUUUUCGGUUUCAACCCAGGCUACAGAUUUAUACACAUUUAUACAGCAGAAUUUUAUACAUUUCUAUGUCACAUUACUGUACACUCAGAUCAUUGAUCAUGCAUGUUUAGAACGAAUUUAAUCUUACGCCAUAUUACACUAUGAGUCGCGGUGAGAUACAGUUGAUAAUUCAUUACUGAUCAAUGAUUAAGUUUGCUGCUUCAGUCAAUCUGCAACCGCAAAUGAGCUUGUAGUACAAAUUUUACAUUUUUAUACAUAUCGAGCACAAAGCAUGAUCAAGACUCAAGACACAAAGCUCUUCAAAGAGUAGGAAAAAAUAGAAAAAAGUUCAGUUGUGCAAGUUACUUGGUUUCAACAGUUAAGAUAAUAAAUUCUGCUAAAGCAUAAGAACAAUGACAUCUGAGUGAUACUGAUUGAAUACAUUUGUAAACUCUGAAACAGUCAAUUGGUAUUUGACUGUUAAUAAUCAAAUAUUAAUGCUUGUUGAAUCAUCAAAAGAGAAAAGGAAAAAAAGCAAGCAAUUUCGGAAGAGAUUAAAAAUCAGAGGUAAAACUCAAAUCUGGAUGCUAUAGAUUUACUGGUUCACCAUUA